Molecule: ribosomal RNA, 497 nt
Filed under: uncultured bacterium
Lineage: Bacteria
Description: partial 16S ribosomal RNA
Rfam family: Bacterial small subunit ribosomal RNA
Source: RNAcentral
GAUGAACGCUGGCGGCGUGCCUAAUACAUGCAAGUCGAGCGAACAGACGAGGAGCUUGCUCCUCUGACGUUAGCGGCGGACGUGUGAGUAACACGUGGAUAACCUACCUAUAAGACUGGGAUAACUUCGGGAAACCGGAGCUAAUACCGUAUAAUCUAUUGAACCGCAUGGUUCAAUAGUAAAAUACGGUUUUGCUGUCACUUAUAGAUGGAUCCGCGCCGCAUUAGCUAGUUGGUAAGGUAACGGCUUACCAAGGCAACGAUGCGUAGCCGACCUGAGAGGGUGAUAGGCCACCCUGGAACUGAGACACGGUCCAGACGACUACGGGAGGCAGCAGUAGGGAAUCUUACGCAAUGGGCGAAAGCAUGACGGAGCAACGCGGAGUGAGUGAUGAAGGUCUUCGGAUCGUAAAACUCUGUUAUUAGGGAAGAACAAAUGUGUAAGUAAAUAUGCACGUCUUGACGGUACCUAAUCAGAAAGCAACGGCUAACUACGUG